AGUGGAACGAGCGGUGAUAAGUGUCGCAGCCAUUAGGCCAAUGAGAGCAAGCAGCAGAACUUUGGACAUCUUCCAAGAGAUGAUUUCUGGUGAUCACAUCAAUCACAAUUUGAGGCUAGACCGCAAACGAGAACAGCAGUGAAAAUUGGACGUUUGUUGAGGCAUCGAAAAAUCAUCGUUACUCACAAUGAUUGUACGGCUACCGAAGGCAAUGAGAAUAAUGGAUGAUUAAUUCACUGGUGAACCAUGCUGACCGGUAAUUGCAAUUAAUGGAAUACACACCGGGUGAAUCACUACAAAAAAAAAAUAUUCGGGAUAAAA
Long non-coding RNA from Fopius arisanus, 321 nucleotides. RefSeq lists it as uncharacterized. The record is from RefSeq and is a predicted model, not a curated record. Lineage: Eukaryota; Metazoa; Arthropoda; Insecta; Hymenoptera; Braconidae. The transcript has 2 exons.